This 813-nucleotide small RNA is filed under the name Pan troglodytes (chimpanzee). Its description in RNAcentral is "retained intron". Lineage: Eukaryota; Metazoa; Chordata; Mammalia; Primates; Hominidae. The record is from RNAcentral.
CGGAGACUCGCGGUUGCUACGCGCACCAUGGCUGGAGCGCCCACGGUCUCGCUCCCUGAACUCCGUUCACUCCUAGCCUCCGGCCGGGCCCGGCUCUUCGACGUGCGCUCUCGCGAGGAGGCGGCAGCUGGGACCAUCCCAGGGGCGCUCAACAUCCCGGGUAUAGGGUGGAGAGGGGACGCCCAGGUGGUGGAAUAGAGACCAUUCAGGAGAUUCUUUGCCAAUGGGACCUCAUUUAGGAUGGAAUGGGGAAGGCACUGAUUAUGGGGGUCCUGCAUUCCCGGGAGCCAGCCCUCAGCUUCCGUAGGAAGGACUGAUGGGGGGCGGAUCUUGGCAUCGGAACUGGCCCAUCCAGUUUGAGAAGACAGCAGGCGGAGAGGAGAGGGGCAGACCAGCUUCUCUUGACCUCCCCAAGUCUGGACGCCUGAGGGGGCAUCCCGCCCCGCCUCCUCACAGCUUGGGGAGUGGCUUGCAUUCAAAAGUUGUCGGUUUCUGGUCCUUGAAAUUGGGGUGGGGGUAGGGGAUGGUUAUCAUAUGUUGUUUGGGGGCCCCCAGGACCCAGCCUUUCCAGGCCCGGCUUCCGAACCUGAGUGCCAAAUUGCUGGCUUUCCCUUCUACCCUCUCCACUCCUCCAGUGUCCGAGUUGGAGAGUGCUCUGCAGAUGGAGCCAGCUGCCUUCCAGGCUUUAUAUUCUGCUGAGAAGCCAAAGCUGGAAGAUGAGCAUCUCAUUUUCUUCUGUCAGAUGGGCAAGCGGGGCCUCCAGGCCACGCAGCUGGCCCGGAGUCUUGGAUACACUGGGUACGGGGAGGUGUG